UUGUUAGGAAGAUGAUCCCUAUGAUCUUGAAGAUGUUUCUGCACAGAAAUGAGGGAAACACAAAGAACCAAAUACAGUUCUGAAACUUGGGAUCUGUAUUUUGAGAUGAUUUUAUUUUCAGAAUGAGAAGCAUAUCUGGUUACCUUUAUGAAUGUAGAAACAUGAGAGGAGAGUUAUGAUGGCAAAAAACAAAGAGCCUCGUCCCCCAUCCUAUACUAUCAGUGUAGUUGGACUCUCUGGGACUGAAAAAGACAAAGGUAACUGUGGAGUUGGAAAGUCUUAUUUGUCCAAUAGAUUUGUACGCGCAAAAGCAGAUGAAUAUUAUCCAGAGCAUACUUCUGUGCUUAGCCCCGUUGACUUCGGAGGACGAGUAGUAAACAACGAUCACUUUUUGUACUACUGGGGUGACAUAACAUAAAAUGGUGAAGACAGAGUAGAAUGCAAAAUUCAUGUCAUUUAACAGAGUUCAUUGAUGACCAGGCUUUCUUGUCUCAUCGGAGUACGAAUUUGCAACCAUAUAUAAAACGUGCAGCUGCAUCUGAAUUGUAGUCAGCAGGAAAACUAAUGUACAUUUGCACUGAUCAGCUAGGCUUAGAACAAGACUUUGAACAGAAGCAAAUGCCGGAAGGGAAGCUCAAUGUAGAUGGAUUUUUAUUACUCAUUGAUGUAAGUCAAGGAUGCAAUAGGAAGUUUGAUGAUCAACUUAAAUUUGCGAAUAACCUUUUUGUCCAGUUAUCAAAAUCAAAAAUACCUGUAAUAAUAGCAGCAACUAAAUGUGAUGAAUGCAUGGAUCAUUAUCUUAGAGAAGUUCAGGCAUUUGCUUCAAACAAAAAGAACCUUCUUUUAGUGGAAAUAUCAGCAGGAUUUAAUGUCAACAUUGAAACACGUUUCACGGCACUGGUACAAAUGUUGGAUAAAACUUGUAGCAAGCCUAAAAUUACUCCCUAUUUGGAUGCUUAUAAAACACAGAGACAACUUGCUGUCAGAGCAACAGAUAAGUUUGAAAAACUUGUGCAGACUGUGAGAGAUUAUCAUGCAACUUGGAAAACUGUUAGUAAUAAAUUAAAAAAUCAUCCUGAUUAUGAGGAAUACAUCAACUUAGAGGGAACAAGAAAGGCCAGAAAUACAUUCUCAAAACAUAUAAAACAACUUAAACAGGAACAUAUAAGAAAAAGGAAAGAAGAGUAUGUAAAUACUUUACCAAGAGCUUUUAACACUCUUUUGCCAAAUCUAGAAGAGAUUGAACAUUUGAAUUGGUCAGAAGCUCUGAAGUUAAUGGAAAAGAGAGCAGAUUUCCAGUUACGUUUUGUGGUGCUACAAUAAACACCUUUGGAUGAAACUGACCAUAUAGACAAAAUUAAUGAUAGGCAGAUUCCAUUUGACCUCCAGAGCACUUUAGAAGCUGAAAAACUAUCAGAACCAUGUACGUCAUCUAAUAUCCGAGAAGAGGAAGGUAGAAAUGAAGGAAAAAUUCAAAAAGACUUUGGAAAAAAUUCAAUUCGUUUCACCUGGACAGCCGCGGGAGGAAGUUAUGUGCUUUGUUAUGGAGGAUGAAGCCUUCAAAUAUAUCACUGAGGCUGAUAGCAGUAAGGUAAGCAUCAGUGAGAAAUGGUUGAAAAAGCCAAAGAAGAGUUUCAAUAAUUGCUUUUUGAGCGUUCCGAACUUUUUUAUGAUUUAGAUCUUAAUGCAACACCUAGUUCAGAUAAAAAGAGUGAAAUUCAUACGGUUCUCAGUGAAGAAGCUGGAUAUAAAGCUUUACAGAAACUUGCACCUGAUAGGAACUCUCUUCUGCCUAAGCAUAUAGGAUUUGUUUAUCAUUCCACUAAAGAAAGAUGUCUUAGUGGUCAAAAUUGUACAGACAUUAAAGUGGAGCAGUUACUUGCUGGUAGUCUUUUACAGCUGGAUCAUGGCCGCUUAAGAUUAUAUCACAAUAGUACCAAUAUAGAUAAAGUUAACCUUUUUAUUUUAGGGAAGGUCGACCUUGCCCAAGAACUAGCAAAUGAGAUAAAGCACAGUCCUCUGAAGAUGAGUAUGCCUUAGAUGGAAAAUUUAUGAACUGGAUCUUCGGCCAGUUCACCUUACUUUUUGAGUCAGUUAUGGACUGCCACCUUUAAACCACAUGGGUGCUUCUGUGUAUUUAAUUCCAUUGAGUCAUUGAGUUUUAUUGGGUAAUUUAUUGGGAAAAUAAGAACUGAAGCUUAUCAGAUCAGAAAAGAUAAAUAAAUGGCUAAUCUUCCAUUUACAUUAAUUCUGGCUAAUCAGAGACAUUCCAUUAGUAAGAAUCUACCAAUUCUCAGGCACCAAGGGCAGCAGUUGGCAAACAAGUUACAAUGUCCUUUUGUAGAUGUACCUGCUGGUACAUAUGCUUGUAAAUUUGAUGAAACCCAAAUAAAGCAAGCUCUAAGAGUACUGGAGUCAGGUAAACACAAUUUGGAUGUGGUGAGCCCAGUUCCUGCCAAUAAGGACAUAUCAGAAGUUGACUUGAGAAUUGUCAUGUGUGCCAUGUGUGGAGAUCCAUUUAGUGUGGAUCUUAUUCUUUCCCCCUUCUUUGAUUCUCAUUCUUGCAGUGCUGCUCAAGCUGGACAGAAUAAUUCCCUAAUGCUUGAUAAAAUCAUUGAUUAAAAAAGGAGGCUAAUACAGAUCACAAUAUUAUCAUACCACUCUUCAAUUGGAGUAAGAAAAGAUGAACUAGUUCAAGGAUAUAUAUUAGUUUACUCUGCAAAACGGAAAACCGCGAUGGGAAUGUUUUGAGCAUUUCUAUCAGAAGUUCAAGACACCAUUCCUAUACAGCUGGUAGCAGUUACUGACAGCCAAGCAGAUUUUUUUUUUGAAAAUGAGGCUAUCAAAGAGUUAACGACUGAAGGAGAACACAUUGCAACUGAGAUCACUGCUAAAUUUACAGCAUUGUAUUCUUUAUCUCAGUAUCAUCGGCAAACUGAGAUCUUUAUUCUGUUUUUUAGUGAUGUUCUAGAGAAAAAACAUAUGAUAGAAAAUUCUUAUUUGUCUGAUAAUGCAAGGGAAUCAACCCACCAAAGUGAAGAUGUUUUUCUACCAUCUCCCAGAGACUGUUUUCCCUAUAACAACUACCCUGAUUCAGAUGAUGACACAGAAGCACCACCUCCUUAUAGUCCAACUGGGGAUGAUGUACAGUUGCUUCCAACACCUAGUGACUGUUCCAGAUAAAGAUUAGAUUUGGAAGGAAAUGAAUGUCCUAUUCAUAGUACCCCAAACUGUCAUGACCAUGAACGCAACCACAAAGUGCCUCCACCUAUUAAAUCUACUUCAGUUGUACCUAAGACAAAUGUGAAAAAAAAUGGAUCCAAACCUUUUAAAAACAAGCGAAGCUGGUAUUGGUAAAAAUCCAAGAAAGCAGACUUCCCCGGUGCCUUUGGCACAUCCUGAAGAUAUGGAUCCUUCAGAUAACUAUGCGGAACCCAUUGAUAAAAUUUUCAAACAGAAGGGCUAUUCUGAUGAGAUUUAUGUUGUCCCAGAUGAUAGUCAAAAUUGCAUUAAAAUUCAAAACUCAUGUGCAAAUAACACCCAAGGACAUGGAGAAAAUGGAUUUUCUGAUAGAACCUCAAAAAAUCAUGGGGAAUGGAGGCCUUCAAAAUACAAAUAUAAAUCUAAAACUUUGUUUAGUAAAGCCAAGUCAUGUUAUAGAAGAACACAUUCAGAUGCCAGUGAUGAUGAGGCUUUCACCACUUCUAAAACAAAAAGAAAAGGAAGACAUCAUGGAAGUGAAGAAGAUCCACUUCUUUCUCCUGUUGAAACAAGGUGAUAUUGAUAAUCCUGAAAUCACUUAUGACCAGGAGUUAGAUGAUAAGAAGAUGAAGAAGAAAAUACGCAAAGUGAAAGAAGAUAAAAAGCAGAAAAAGAAAACUAAGAACUUCAAUCCACCAACACGUAGAAAUCGGGCAAGUGAUUACUUUGGGAUGCCCUUCCAGGAUCUGGUUACAGCUGAGAAACCCAUACCAGUAUUUGUUGAGAAACAUGUGGAAUUUAUUGAAGAUACAGGGUUAUGUACCGAAGGACUCUACCGUGUUAGCGGGAACAAAACUGACCAAAACAAUAUUCAAAAGCAGUUUGAUCAAGAUCAUAAUAUCAAUCUAGUGUCAAUGGAAAUAAAAGUAAAUGCUAAAGCUGGAGCCCUUACAGCUUUCUUUGCAGAUCUGCCAGAUCCUUUAAUACCAUAUUCUCUUCAUCCAGAGCUAUUGGAAGCAGCAAAAAUCCUGGAUAAAACAGAACGUCCUCACGCCUUAAAGAAAUUGUUAAGAAAUUUCAUUCUGUAAACUAUGAUGAAUUCAGAUACAUGAUAACACAUCUAAACAGGGUCAGUCAGCAAAAUAAAAUCAACCUAAUGACAGCAGACAACUUAUCCAUAUGUUUUUGGUCAACCUUGAUGAGACCUGA
Macaca mulatta (Rhesus monkey) is the source of this 4410-nucleotide non-coding RNA. The record is from RefSeq and is a predicted model, not a curated record. NCBI's taxonomy places the organism in Eukaryota, Metazoa, Chordata, Mammalia, Primates, Cercopithecidae.